AGAGACAGCAGUCGCCGCGGGAAAACGGAGGGUGCAAGCGUUAAUCGGAAUUACUGGGCGUAAAGCGCACGCAGGCGGUCUGACAAGUCAGAUGUGAAAUCCCCGGGCUUAACCUGGGAACUGCAUUUGAAACUGUCAGGCUGGAGUCUUGUAGAGGGGGGUAGAAUUCCAGGUGUAGCGGUGAAAUGCGUAGAGAUCUGGAGGAAUACCGGUGGCGAAGGCGGCCCCCUGGACAAAGACUGACGCUCAGGUGCGAAAGCGUGGGGAGCAAACAGGAUUAGAUACCCCAGUAGUCCCUGUCUCUUAUAC
This 309-nucleotide ribosomal RNA is filed under the name uncultured bacterium. Its description in RNAcentral is "partial 16S ribosomal RNA". It matches the Rfam family "Bacterial small subunit ribosomal RNA", at positions 504 to 807 of the family's 1533-position model. The record is from RNAcentral.